GAUGAAGAACGUUGCGAAAUGCGAUAAGUAAUGUGAAUUGCAGAAUUCAGUGAAUCAUCGAAUCUUUGAACGCACAUUGCGCCCGCCAGUAUUCUGGCGGGCAUGCCUGUUCGAGCGUCAUUACAACCCUCAGGCCCCCGGGCCUGGCGUUGGGGAUCGGCGGAAGCCCCCUGCGGGCACAACGCCGUCCCCCAAAUACAGUGGCGGUCCCGCCGCAGCUUCCAUUGCGUAGUAGCUAACACCUCGCAACUGGAGAGCGGCGCGGCCACGCCGUAAAACACCCAACUUCUGAAUGUUGACCUCGAAUCAGGUAGGAAUACCCGCUGAACUUAAGCAUAUCAAUAAGCGGAGGA
RNAcentral lists this unclassified non-coding RNA (353 nucleotides) under soil metagenome. RNAcentral describes it as "partial contains 5.8S ribosomal RNA, internal transcribed spacer 2, and large subunit ribosomal RNA". The stretch from base 1 to 120 matches the Rfam family "5.8S ribosomal RNA", at positions 35 to 154 of the family's 154-position model. The record is from RNAcentral.